AUGGACUUUGUGGAAGGGCUGCCAAAAUCUGAGCACAAGGACAUGAUACUGGUUGUAGUUGAUCGUUUCACUAAAUAUGCUCACUUUGUAGCCAUGAGACACCCCAUCACUGUCAAGACAGUAGCCCAAGCUUUCACUGACAACAUAUUCAGAUUACAUGGACUGCCUACAGUGAUAGUAACUGACAGAGAUAGAAUAUUCACUAGUCAUCUCUGGCAACACUUGUUCAACAAAAUGGGAGUUAAAUUACACAUGACUACUUCCUACCACCCCCAAUCUGAUGGGAAAACAGAAAGAGUUAAUCCAUGCCUUGAGAAUUAUUUAAGAUGCAUGGCUUUUGCUCAUCCCAAGAAAUGGCAUACUUGGCUUUCAAUGGCUGAAUGGUGGUACAACACCACCUUCCAUACAUCACUGAAAAUGACUCCUUUUCAAGCUCUGUAUGCCAGACCCCCUCCAAUGAUUGCUGAAUUGAUGUUACCACCAGUGGAAGGUGAGGAUCACCAAGCUGAAUUGGACAGGGACACAAUAGCCCAACAGAUCAAGGACAAUUUACUUAAAGCACAAGAGAGAAUGAAGUUCUUUGCUGACAAGAAACGAUCUGAGAGACAACUUGCUGUGGGUGAUAUGGUCUAUGUUAAAUUGCAACCAUACAGACACACCAGCUUGAGCAUACACAGACACCUAAAACUUCACUCCAAAUACUAUGGACCCUUCCGAGUCAUGGAGAGAAUUGGAGCCGUUGCUUAUAGGCUCCUCCUGCCCGAGGGUUGUCAGCUUCACCCCACCUUUCAUGUAAGCCAACUCAAGAAGCACCUUGGUCCCGAAGCUGUACCUAACCCCAAAUUGCCCCUAUUGGAUGAACAUGGUAACAUCCUCAUUCAGCCUGAAGCACUGCUUGAACGACGACUAAUCCCACGAGUCCAGGGAGACAUUAGCAUUCCAGUCAUGCAGUGGCGCAUCAAGUGGCUCAACCUACCAGUGGAAAAUGCCACCUGGGAAGAUGCGGCUUUUAUUCAAAAAAAUUUCCCUGCUUUUCAUCCUUGA
Molecule: ribosomal RNA, 1044 nt
Filed under: Triticum aestivum (bread wheat)
Lineage: Eukaryota; Viridiplantae; Streptophyta; Magnoliopsida; Poales; Poaceae
Description: partial small subunit ribosomal RNA
Source: RNAcentral